RNAcentral lists this ribosomal RNA (511 nucleotides) under uncultured Pseudomonadota bacterium. RNAcentral's name for it is "bacterial SSU rRNA". It matches the Rfam family "Bacterial small subunit ribosomal RNA", at positions 355 to 858 of the family's 1533-position model. Lineage: Bacteria; Pseudomonadati; Pseudomonadota. The record is from RNAcentral.
UGGGGAAUUUUGGACAAUGGGGGCAACCCUGAUCCAGCCAUGCCGCGUGCGGGAAGAAGGCCUUCGGGUUGUAAACCGCUUUUAGUCGGGAAGAAAAGGCCAGGCCCAAUACGCCUGGUUCUUGACGGUACCGGCGGAAUAAGCACCGGCUAACUACGUGCCAGCAGCCGCGGUAAUACGUAGGGUGCGAGCGUUAAUCGGAAUUACUGGGCGUAAAGCGUGCGCAGGCGGUUCGACAAGUCCGAUGUGAAAGCCCCGGGCUCAACCUGGGAAUGGCAUUGGAAACUGGCGGGCUGGAGUGUGGCAGAGGGGGGUGGAAUUCCGCGUGUAGCAGUGAAAUGCGUAGAGAUGCGGAGGAACACCGAUGGCGAAGGCAGCCCCCUGGGCUGACACUGACGCUCAGGCACGAAAGCGUGGGGAGCAAACAGGAUUAGAUACCCUGGUAGUCCACGCCCUAAACGAUGAUACACUGGGUGUUCGGGGAGCGAUCUCUGAGUACCGUAGCUAACGC